GCUAAGAAAACUUACACGUUUAUACCACUGUAGUGAUUUAUUUAAUUAUUAGUAUAAGACUUUCCACCCUCAUUCUCACCCAUAGUUUCUGAGAGGCUACAAAGAUAGUUGAAAUAAUUAAUCCAUGAUUCUAGAAUUAGAAGUGCAUACGAUGCAUGUUGAAUGUUGUAAUGGAUGGUGUUUUUCACCAGUGGAAAGGAGACACGACCCGAGCAUUACGCGAUAAGUGGCAACAACGUAGGUAGUGGCUUCCUUUGAUGCAGACAAAGUUAGAGAGGUUUGGAACGUACAUGGGCAACUAGGAAUGGUGGUGGAUAAGAUAAGGAAGGAGUGGAGUGGAUUAGGGUGAGUUGACCUCUGAAUGUGAGACAGGUGCCCUUUUAGCCUUUUCAUUUCGUGAACCAAGAAUCCCGUGUCAUCUUGAA
This 425-nucleotide long non-coding RNA is filed under the name Phaseolus vulgaris (common bean). Its description in RNAcentral is "long non-coding RNA (PVUL_LNC004189)". Lineage: Eukaryota; Viridiplantae; Streptophyta; Magnoliopsida; Fabales; Fabaceae. The record is from RNAcentral.